Molecule: ribosomal RNA, 538 nt
Filed under: Aureobasidium proteae
Lineage: Eukaryota; Fungi; Ascomycota; Dothideomycetes; Dothideales; Saccotheciaceae
Description: eukaryotic LSU rRNA
Rfam family: Eukaryotic large subunit ribosomal RNA
Source: RNAcentral
UAGUAACGGCGAGUGAAGCGGCAACAGCUCAAAUUUGAAAGCUAGCCUUCGGGUUCGCAUUGUAAUUUGUAGAGGAUGAUUUGGGGAAGCCGCCUGUCUAAGUUCCUUGGAACAGGACGUCAUAGAGGGUGAGAAUCCCGUAUGUGACAGGAAAUGGCACCCUAUGUAAAUCUCCUUCGACGAGUCGAGUUGUUUGGGAAUGCAGCUCUAAAUGGGAGGUAAAUUUCUUCUAAAGCUAAAUAUUGGCGAGAGACCGAUAGCGCACAAGUAGAGUGAUCGAAAGAUGAAAAGCACUUUGGAAAGAGAGUUAAAAAGCACGUGAAAUUGUUGAAAGGGAAGCGCUUGCAAUCAGACUUGUUUAAACUGUUCGGCCGGUCUUCUGACCGGUUUACUCAGUUUGGACAGGCCAGCAUCAGUUUCGGCGGCCGGAUAAAGGCUCUGGGAAUGUGGCCUCCACUUCGGUGGAGGUGUUAUAGCCCAGGGUGUAAUACGGCCAGCCGGGACUGAGGUCCGCGCUUCGGCUAGGAUGCUGGCGUAA